This 58-nucleotide transfer RNA is filed under the name Mesocricetus auratus (golden hamster). It matches the Rfam family "tRNA", at positions 8 to 63 of the family's 71-position model. From Rfam's summary of the family: Transfer RNA (tRNA) molecules are approximately 80 nucleotides in length. Their secondary structure includes four short double-helical elements and three loops (D, anti-codon, and T loops). The record is from Rfam by way of RNAcentral. Lineage: Eukaryota; Metazoa; Chordata; Mammalia; Rodentia; Cricetidae.
UGGCUCAGCGGUUAAGAGCACUGGCUGCUCUUCCAGUGGACCUGGGUUCAAUUCCCAG